UACGUAGGGUGCGAGCGUUGUCCGGAAUUAUUGGGCGUAAAGGGCUCGUAGGCGGUUUGUCGCGUCGGGAGUGAAAACCCAGGGCUUAACUCUGGGCUGGCUUUCGAUACGGGCAGACUAGAGGCAUGCAGGGGAGAACGGAAUUCCUGGUGUAGCGGUGAAAUGCGUAGAUAUUGGGAGGAACACCAGUGGCGAAGGCGGCUACCUGGACCGGAACUGACGCUGAUGCGCGAAAGCGUGGGGAGCGAACAGG
RNAcentral lists this ribosomal RNA (253 nucleotides) under uncultured bacterium. Its description in RNAcentral is "partial 16S ribosomal RNA". It matches the Rfam family "Bacterial small subunit ribosomal RNA", at positions 524 to 776 of the family's 1533-position model. The record is from RNAcentral.